RNAcentral lists this transfer RNA (63 nucleotides) under Geminigera cryophila. The record is from RNAcentral. Lineage: Eukaryota; Cryptophyceae; Pyrenomonadales; Geminigeraceae.
GCGUGACUCAGUUGGUCAGAGCGAAGGACUCUUAAUCCCGUGGUCGUCGGUUCGAUUACGUCU